Molecule: ribosomal RNA, 400 nt
Filed under: uncultured bacterium
Lineage: Bacteria
Description: bacterial SSU rRNA
Rfam family: Bacterial small subunit ribosomal RNA
Source: RNAcentral
GAAUAUUGGACAAUGGGGGCAACCCUGAUCCAGCAACGCCGCGUGGGCGACGAAGGCCUUCGGGUCGUAAAGCCCUUUUGCAGGGGAAGAUAGUGACGGUACCCUGCGAAUAAGCCACGGCUAACUACGUGCCAGCAGCCGCGGUAAUACGUAGGUGGCGAGCGUUGUCCGGAUUUACUGGGCGUAAAGCGCGUGCAGGCGGUUCGUUAAGUCUGGGGUGAAAUCUCCCGGCUCAACUGGGAGGGGUUCUCAGAUACUGGCGGACUUGAGGGAGGUAGAGGAGAGUAGAAUUCUCGGUGUAGUGGUGAUAUGCGUAGAUAUCGAGAGGAAUACCAGUGGCGAAGGCGGCUCUCUGGACCUUACCUGACGCUAAGACGCGAAAGCGUGGGGAGCGAACCGG